Molecule: ribosomal RNA, 686 nt
Filed under: uncultured bacterium
Lineage: Bacteria
Description: bacterial SSU rRNA
Rfam family: Bacterial small subunit ribosomal RNA
Source: RNAcentral
GAAGCUUGCUUCCUAUGAAAUCGAGUGGCAAACGGGUGAGUAACGCGUAAACAACCUGCCCUUCGGAUGGGGAUAACAGCCGGAAACGGCUGCUAAUACCGAAUACGAUCUUUACGUCGCAUGACGAAAAGAAGAAAGGAUGGCCUCUAUACGAAGCUAUCGCCGAAGGAGGGGUUUGCGUCUGAUUAGCUGGUUGGAGGGGUAACGGCCCAACAAGGCGAUGAUCAGUAGCCGGUCUGAGAGGAUGAACGGCCACAUUGGGACUGAGACACGGCCCAGACUCCUACGGGAGGCAGCAGUGGGGAAUCUUCCGCAAUGGACGAAAGUCUGACGGAGCAACGCCGCGUGAGUGAAGAAGGUCUUCGGAUUGUAAAGCUCUGUUAUACGGGACGAAAAAGACGGAUGCCAACAGUAUCCGUCCGUGACGGUACCGUAAGAGAAAGCCACGGCUAACUACGUGCCAGCAGCCGCGGUAAUACGUAGGUGGCAAGCGUUGUCCGGAAUUAUUGGGCGUAAAGGGCGCGCAGGCGGUUCGGUAAGUCUGUCUUAAAAGUGCGGGGCUUAACCCCGUGAGGGGACGGAAACUGUCGAACUUGAGUGUCGGAGAGGAAAGCGGAAUUCCUAGUGUAGCGGUGAAAUGCGUAGAUAUUAGGAGGAACACCGGUGGCGAAAGCGGCUUUCUGGAC